CCUACGGGAGGCAGCAGUGAGGAAUAUUGGUCAAUGGGCGAGAGCCUGAACCAGCCAAGUCGCGUGAGGGAGUACUGCCCUAGGGGUUGUAAACCUCUGUUGUCGGGGAGCAAAAGCCGGACGUGUCCGGCUGUGAGAGUACCCGAAGAAAAAGCAUCGGCUAACUCCGUGCCAGCAGCCGCGGUAAUAAGGAGGAUGCGAGCGGUAUACGGAUUUAUUGGGUUUAAAGGGUGCGCAGGGGGAUUUUUAAGUCAGCGGUCAAGUCGUGGGGAUCAACCCCAUCCAGCAGUUGAGACUGGGGGUCUAGAGUGUGCGUGAGGUAUGCGGAAUGCGUGGUGGAGCGGUGAAAUGCAUAGAUAUCACGCAGAACCCCGAUUGCGAAGGCAGCAUACCGGUGCACAACUGACGCUCAGGCACGAAAGCGUGGGUAUCGAACAGGAUUAGAUACCCCGGUAGUC
This 458-nucleotide ribosomal RNA is filed under the name uncultured bacterium. Its description in RNAcentral is "partial 16S ribosomal RNA". It matches the Rfam family "Bacterial small subunit ribosomal RNA", at positions 338 to 795 of the family's 1533-position model. The record is from RNAcentral.